UACAGAGGGUGCGAGCGUUAAUCGGAAUUACUGGGCGUAAAGCGCACGUAGUCGGCUUUGCAAGUCGGUCGUGAAAUCCCCGGGCUCAACCUGGGAACUGCAUCCGAGACUGCAUUGCUAGAGUAUGGGAGAGGAAAGCGGAAUUUCUGGUGUAGCAGUGAAAUGCGUAGAUAUCAGAAGGAACAUCAGUGGCGAAGGCGGCUUUCUGGACCAAUACUGACGAUCAGGUGCGAAAGCGUGGGGAGCAAACAGG
Molecule: ribosomal RNA, 253 nt
Filed under: uncultured bacterium
Lineage: Bacteria
Description: partial 16S ribosomal RNA
Rfam family: Bacterial small subunit ribosomal RNA
Source: RNAcentral